This 537-nucleotide ribosomal RNA is filed under the name Campylobacter fetus. RNAcentral describes it as "bacterial SSU rRNA". It matches the Rfam family "Bacterial small subunit ribosomal RNA", at positions 36 to 588 of the family's 1533-position model. Lineage: Bacteria; Pseudomonadati; Campylobacterota; Epsilonproteobacteria; Campylobacterales; Campylobacteraceae. The record is from RNAcentral.
CUGGCGGCGUGCUAUACAUGCAAGUCGAACGGAGUAUUAAGAGAGCUUGCUCUUUUAAUACUUAGUGGCGCACGGGUGAGUAAUGUAUAGUUAAUCUGCCCUACACUGGAGGACAACAGUUAGAAAUGACUGCUAAUACUCCAUACUCCUUCUUAACAUAAGUUAAGUCGGGAAAGUUUUUCGGUGUAGGAUGAGACUAUAUUGUAUCAGCUAGUUGGUAAGGUAAUGGCUUACCAAGGCUUUGACGCAUAACUGGUCUGAGAGGAUGAUCAGUCACACUGGAACUGAGACACGGUCCAGACUCCUACGGGAGGCAGCAGUAGGGAAUAUUGCUCAAUGGGGGAAACCCUGAAGCAGCAACGCCGCGUGGAGGAUGACACUUUUCGGAGCGUAAACUCCUUUUGUUAGGGAAGAACCAUGACGGUACCUAACGAAUAAGCACCGGCUAACUCCGUGCCAGCAGCCGCGGUAAUACGGAGGGUGCAAGCGUUACUCGGAAUCACUGGGCGUAAAGGACGCGUAGGCGGAUUAUCAAGU